This 254-nucleotide ribosomal RNA is filed under the name uncultured bacterium. Its description in RNAcentral is "partial 16S ribosomal RNA". It matches the Rfam family "Bacterial small subunit ribosomal RNA", at positions 524 to 776 of the family's 1533-position model. The record is from RNAcentral.
UACGUAGGCAGCGAGCGUUGUUCGGAAUUACUGGGCGUAAAGAGUGUGUAGGCGGUGCUCUAAGUUCGGUGUGAAAUCUCCUGGCUCAACUGGGAGGGUGCGCCGGAAACUGGAGUGCUUGAGCGUGGGAGAGGAAAGCGGAAUUCCUGGUGUAGCGGUGAAAUGCGUAGAUAUCAGGAGGAACACCUGUGGUGUAGACGGCUUUCUGGACCAUAGCUGACGCUGAGACACGAAAAGCGUGGGUAGCAAACAGG